GGCAGCAUAACGUUAAAUGUUGUAAAUAAUGUGGCUAUUUUUAAUACGUCUUGUUCUUGUAUCAUUGAACGAAAAAUGUCUUCCCAAUUGUAAAUAAGACUAAACGAGAAAUAUACAAGAUAUAAGAGAAAUAUUUCCAACUCGACUUGAAGACCAGGGGUGCGUUUCCCGAAGUUGCCCAAGUUGGCUAACGAUCUUUUGGAAAGCUCACCUCAGAUUAGUCCAACAGCACAGGGGAUUGUUCAUUCCCAGGGUUGUAUCUCGAGUCUCCACUUGUCCGUGUACUCCAGUAGAUGGCGACAAGUGACUUCUUAAUGAGUGAGUCAUUGAAUCGAUUCGUUCAAACGCUCGGAUUCAUUUAGUAAGGCCAUAUUUGUGUGUUGCUGGGAGACGCGUCGCUCCAGUUGAUUCUGCGUUGACUUCAUUUGGAUCUCUGUUCGGUGACAGAGCAAAAGUAGACAAUGUAACUGGCAAUAUUGUGUCUAAAAUCACAGGUUCAGGAGGCCUGAGGGAUGACAUACACUGAGAUGAAGUGUGCAGAAGAAGGACCUCGUUUCUGUAUCCCAUUAACAUCACCUCGUAAAAUGCUCCUACACGACAUGAGCAAACUGACACCCAUAUGUUAGCUGGCUCAGCUUUCUGCAGGCCUCACUGAGCCAUUGGAUUUCAUCAAAAAUAUCUUAAUUUGUGUUCUGAAGAUGAACAAAGGUCUUACGGGUGUGGAACGACAUGAGGACAUGCUUGGAGGGAAUACAGAGAAAAUUGUUUGCCUUAAACUAAAAAUAAAUUUGGUGGCAGAGCACACCACAAGGCUGAAGACCGCUGGCUGGGUACGUCUGAAUGUGUAAUUUGUAUCAUGUUCACAAUAGGACUUCAGUUGUUCAUGUAUCAUAUAUAUGAUAUGUCUGUUUUUAGCACAUCACUUUUUUUCUUUCUACUUCUGCUUUCUGUUUCUAACUCCUAUCUCACCAUUGCCAUCUCUCUCUUUUCACUUUAACAAAAGCAGAUUUCUUCACCUCUGCUCAUCUUGUUUCUUAUAUUUGAUAGGAUCUUUCGUUUCUCCUGGCAGAUCUUUCACUGUUCACAUAAAGUUCUGGCAGAGCUCUAACAGACCACAGGGCAUGUUUGCGAAUCAUUUUAAUCAUGAGGUGUAUGAUUUAUUUUGGCAUUCCUUCUCCUUAUUCCAUCCAGCAGAGGCUUUAGUAGAGUCUGUGUAUCUUGGUUACGUUUGCUUAGCAUUAAUUAUGCUUCUAGGAAUAUAUACCCAAACAUAUACAUACUCAUACUUAUAAAUAUAUACAUAAAAUGUAUGUAUCAUGUGUGUAUCACACACACACACACACACACACACACAC
This is a long non-coding RNA of Megalobrama amblycephala (Wuchang bream), 1355 nucleotides long. RefSeq lists it as uncharacterized. The transcript has 4 exons. NCBI's taxonomy places the organism in Eukaryota, Metazoa, Chordata, Actinopteri, Cypriniformes, Xenocyprididae. The record is from RefSeq and is a predicted model, not a curated record.